This 334-nucleotide ribosomal RNA is filed under the name uncultured eukaryote. RNAcentral's name for it is "partial 18S ribosomal RNA". It matches the Rfam family "Eukaryotic small subunit ribosomal RNA", at positions 1470 to 1796 of the family's 1831-position model. The record is from RNAcentral.
CCCUUAGAUGUCCGGGGCCGUACGCGCGCUACACUGAAGGAAUCAGCGUGGCUUUCUCCCUGACCCGAAAGGGUUGGGAAACCCGUCGAAUCUCCUUCGUGAUAGGGAUUGGGGCUUGAAAUUGUUCCCCAUGAACGAGGAAUUCCCAGUAAGCGCGAGUCAUAAGCUCGCGUUGAUUACGUCCCUGCCCUUUGUACACACCGCCCGUCGCUACUACCGAUUGAACGGUUUAGUGAGGGCCUCGGAUUGGUCUCGGCCCGCUCUUUACCGGGCGGCGCCGUUGGUCGAGAAGACGCUCGAACUUGAUCGUUUAGAGGAAGUAAAAGUCGUAACA